Microcebus murinus (gray mouse lemur) is the source of this 3911-nucleotide non-coding RNA. The record is from RefSeq and is a predicted model, not a curated record. Lineage: Eukaryota; Metazoa; Chordata; Mammalia; Primates; Cheirogaleidae.
UGCCAGCAACCAGAAAGCCACCUCUGGUUAAGACCACCAUUUGUCUUUCCCUUUCCCCGUAACUCAGAGUGAAAAACGACCCGCACACAUUGUGGCUGGUGGUAACAGAGGGGUCACCUCCCGGGAAGUUUUUAUAAAUACAUGGGCCGCAGCUUCUGAGGAAUCUGCAAAAGACAUCGCAGUAGACAAGGCUCUGUCAGGCGGAGGACACAGCUUUAUUAGUUAAACCCACGGAACAGGACCUAUGCAAGUGGAGGAGGAUUUGGUGUUAAGGUUAAGACAAAUCAUAUGUGCUUCUUUUUUAUCGAUUGUAAUGGUUAAGUUCCACGGACAAGUAAUUUCAAUAAAUCACAUCUCCUGCGGAUAAAUACAGGGCUUUUAUUUCUAGAAGAACAGCUCACAGAUUUUUGCUAGACCUUACUCCACGGUUUCCUACUGACCCAUCACAGAUUAAAACUUAAAAUUUGCAGAUACAGAAACUGGAACCCAAAGGUGACCUAACCCAGAGAGAGGAUUCCUGCAAGGAUCUAAAGUUGCUGACCAGUGUGCUCUUCCAGUGGGCAGUAUAUCGUAGUGGGCAUAAUAUUGUACAGAUGUCGAACAAAUGGUUUCUGUGGUAUUAUCAGAAUUACACACCAGUGUUGUGUGUCAGGGUUAGGUCAGGGAAGGUAUUAGCUUCAAAAGAAUUUUGCUACAAGAGUUUGAGAUUCUAGACUGGAAAAAAAAGAAAUGGUAACUUUUGAAGGGAGUUUGUACCAGAUAAGCUCAUUCUCAUUCAGAAGAGAUGGCAUCUCCCAGGGCAAGACUGGUGGCCGACCCGGAGUACACCCACCCUAGGUGAGUGCUUGGGAACCAGUCUGAACCAGAAGUAAACUUGGAAGUUUCUGGCCCUCCACAGCAGGAGAUGGACCGUCUGGUCGGAUGGUACAGGUGCACUCAGAUCUCAAGGUCAUCUGGGUUGUGGAACCAAGCUUCUGGAAGGAAACUUGGGUCCCAUUCCUGAGUGGGCUGCUGACUCCACCUGUUAACAGGAGCCUUCCUGUCCACUCCUUAGCUGCCCCGUGAGCCGCAUGAGCGAUGAGGGACACCUUAGGAUUUCCAGACUUCAGAAUUGGGAGUGAGCAGAAAAUGAGCCCACCCGGCCAGAAGGGUGUUACCUGCAGGCCUGUCGGUGAAGUGGGCUUUGGAGUCAGAGGGAAGCCCAAGUCCUGGCUCUGUGUCACUUCCUGCCUCUGGGUGUCAGUUUCGUCAUCUAAAGAACGGGGGUUAUCACCCCUACUGCACGGGAUUAUUCUCGGGAUUAAAUUAGAGCAUGUAAAUUAGAGGUGCUGGACUCGUGCCUGCUACAGAGUAAGAGCCUGUGGUGCAGCAGCGGUUGAUGCUACAUAACUGGUUGUCUGAUUUCCCAGCCUACUGCAGACUGGAGCCAGCAGAUUAGAAAGGCCCGGGGGACUGCUUCGGGAAGGCCCACUGACAGCAGGAAAAGGUGACAGGUCGAAGCCCGACUACAAGGGAGGCAAGAGAAAAACUAUAAAAAGCAGGAACAAAAACUCAAAAGGCACAGCAGUCUGGGGCAUUUACUAAAAGACAAAGAGCCCUCCUCAGGUUCUAACAUUCCCAUGGACCAGCCCUGCUGUCGUGGUCUCUAUGACUUUGAGCCAGAAAACCAAGGAGAAUUAGGAUUUAAAGAAGGGGACAUCAUUACGUUAACCAAUCAGAUAGACGAAAACUGGUAUGAAGGAAUGAUACACGGGGAGUCUGGAUUCUUCCCCAUUAACUAUGUUGAAGUGAUCGUGCCUUUACCUCAGUAAACGUGUAACAAAAACUGUGGACAUCCUUUCGUAACUGAAAUGAAUUCACACCAGUGUUCUCUCCCUGUGGUGUUCUGUGACAUCCUUGCUCUCUGACCAACUUAAUGACUUUUGUAUGUGUGUUCUCUUUAUAAUGUAUUUUGUAUCGAUUUAAUUUGUAUAAAUGAUGUUCUUGCCCUAGCUACAUGGAAAUAUAGUUUUCUUUUUUGCUUAUUGUCCUAAAAGUCAUUGGUUAAAUGUAUGUGCUUCCUGUUGCUAAAAAUAAAUCACCCCCAUUGCAGUUAUGUCAGCGAUUGCCUAUAUUCCUCAGCUGCAGUGGAAUGCAAAGUGUGAAACUAAGAAACGCUCAGUAUUCUGUUUCUUGACAUUACUGAUGGCAUCUGGUCUUUUCCCUUUGUUGUAUUUUGAGCUGACCUGUGAAUAGCCCCAAUAAAUAUGACACACCGUGUUGGCAAAAAGGCCUUGAUUAUUUUUAAUGUCGAAUUGAUUUUUAAGCACAGUCUCCCGGCUGCAGACCCCUCCCGUGCCGGACGGCUGACCGGAGGCUCACAGCACGGGUCUCAGAUGCCAGCUCCUCACCGGCGUCUGCAGGCCUGAGCCGGGCGUUCAGUUUCCACCUAAAAUAGCACACACCCUCCUUGCAGUUGCGGGAUAGAAAACCCUUCCGCCUACUUUCAAGUUUUAUAGAUGGGCCCAACUCAAGCUGCUUCUGCUGCCAAAUGCUGGGUAGGCUUUCCGAGCAGGUCCUGUUACGGAUGCUGAGGAAGCAGCAUGGUCAGGAGGUGGGCUGAGCGCUCAACGGCGCAAUCACCUAGGGUCAGCACGCCGGCGCCGGCCUUGCCCAGCGCCUGCACUUGUUGUGCGCUUUGGCCCACUGGGGUCCACAACAUUCUGGGUGUGGGGGAGGGGCGGGCAUUAGUUCCCGUUUGCAAAGAAUGAGGCUCACCAAAUGGCUUGCCCAGGGUCACACGACCAGGUACAGGCACACCUCAGAGAUAUGGCGAGUCCAGUUCCAGACCAGGACAGUAAAGCCAAUAUGGCAAUAAAACAAGUCACACAAAUUUGGGCGGGUUUCACCAUGCAUACAAAAGUUAUGUUUACACUGUACUGUAGUCCAUUUAGUCGAUUAAAUGGGUGGUAGGAUUAUGUUUUAAACAAUGUACAUUAUUUACAUCUUAAUUAAAAAAACACUUUAUUACAAAAAAAUGCUAGCGAUUAUCUUGAGCCUUCAGUGAGUUGUAAUCUUUUUGCUGGUGGAAGGACUUGCCUAGAUAUUGGUGGCUGCCAACUGACCAGGGUGGUGGUGGUUGGUGAAGGUGACUGUGGCAAUUUCUUAAAAUAAGAUGACAAUGAAGUCUACUACAUCAAUUGACUCCUCCUUUUAUGAAGGAUUUCCCCGUAGCCUGCCAUGCUGCUUGAUAACAUUUUACCCACAGAGCCUCUUUCAUAAUUGGAGUCUCCUCUCAAAUUCUGCUGCUGCUUUAUCGACUAAGCUCAUGUAAUAUUCUAAAUCCUUUGCUGCCAUUUAACAGCAUCUUCACCUGGGGUGGCUUCCAUCUCUGGAAACCACUUCCUUUGCCCAUGCGUAGGAAGCAGCUCCUCGUUAUGAGAUUUUUGCCAGUUCUCUCAUGACAUUGCAGCGAUCCAGUCCCAUCUUCAGGCUCCACUUCCAAUUCCAGUUCUCUUGCUGUUCCCACCUCAUCUGCAGCUCCUCCCUCCACCGAAGACGUGAACCCUUCCAAGUCAUCCACGGUGGUUGAAAUCAACUUCUUCCAAACUCCUGUGAAGAACGGUCUCCUUACCUUCCUGGAAGAGUCAAAGAAGGACACUCCCGGUACACAGCUCUCUGCCUUCAUCACAAGGCCACUGUUGCCAGGGCAGUGGCUGCUGCUGUGUCUCGUCACCUCUCUGAGUCUCAGUUACAGAGAUGAUUCUCUUCUCCAGUUUCCAGCAGCACUCCUACAGAAUUCUCUGUCAUAGUUAUUUGAUAAUUUCAGCGGAGAAUGGCUGGUUUGAGUAAAACAUGUGAGCUCAAAUCAUCUUCUGGCAUCAGAAGUCUUUAUCAGCAGUCCCCAACCUUACUGGCACCAGGGACCGGUC